This 266-nucleotide ribosomal RNA is filed under the name uncultured archaeon. RNAcentral's name for it is "partial 16S ribosomal RNA". It matches the Rfam family "Archaeal small subunit ribosomal RNA", at positions 717 to 982 of the family's 1478-position model. The record is from RNAcentral.
ACACGACUACAUUAGAUACCCGGGUAGUCCUAGCCGUAAACGAUACUCGCUAGGUGUCGGCCACGGUGCGACCGUUGUCGGUGCCGUAGGGAAGCCGUGAAGCGAGCCACCUGGGAAGUACGGCCGCAAGGCUGAAACUUAAAGGAAUUGGCGGGGGAGCACCACAACGGGUGGAGCUUGCGGUUUAAUUGGAUUCAACGCCGGAAAUCUUACCGGGACCGACAGCAACAUGAAGGCCAGGCUGAAGACUUUUGCCGGAUUAGCUG